This 484-nucleotide ribosomal RNA is filed under the name uncultured bacterium. Its description in RNAcentral is "partial 16S ribosomal RNA". It matches the Rfam family "Bacterial small subunit ribosomal RNA", at positions 30 to 507 of the family's 1533-position model. The record is from RNAcentral.
AUUGAACGCUGGCGGCAGGCCUAACACAUGCAAGUCGAGCGGAUGAAGGGAGCUUGCUCCUGGAUUCAGCGGCGGACGGGUGAGUAAUGCCUAGGAAUCUGCCUGGUAGUGGGGGAUAACGUCCGGAAACGGGCGCUAAUACCGCAUACGUCCUGCGGGAGAAAGUGGGGGAUCUUCGGACCUCACGCUAUCAGAUGAGCCUAGGUCGGAUUAGCUAGUUGGUGGGGUAAAGGCCUACCAAGCCGACGAUCCGUAACUGGUCUGAUAGGAUGAUCAGUCACACGAGAAGUUGGACAGGGUCCAGACUCCUACGGGAGGCAGCAGUGGGGAAUAUUGGACAAUGGGCGAAAGCCUGAUCCAGCCAUGCCGAGUGUGUGAAGAAGGUCUUCGGAUUGUAAAGCACUUUAAGUUGGGAGGAAGGGCAGUAAGUUAAUACCUUGCUGUUUUGACGUUACCAACAGAAUAAGCACCGGCUAACUUCGUG